RNAcentral lists this ribosomal RNA (254 nucleotides) under uncultured bacterium. Its description in RNAcentral is "partial 16S ribosomal RNA". It matches the Rfam family "Bacterial small subunit ribosomal RNA", at positions 524 to 776 of the family's 1533-position model. The record is from RNAcentral.
UACGUAGGGUGCGAGCGUUUGUCCGGAAUUACUGGGCGUAAAGAGCUCGUAGGUGGUUUGUCGCGUUGUCCGUGAAAACUCACAGCUUAACUGUGGGCGUGCGGGCGAUACGGGCAGACUGGAGUACUGCAGGGGAGACUGGAAUUCCUGGUGUAGCGGUGGAAUGCGCAGAUAUCAGGAGGAACACCGGUGGCGAAGGCGGGUCUCUGGGCAGUAACUGACGCUGAGGAGCGAAAGCGUGGGGAGCGAACAGG